UGGGGAAUAUUGCACAAUGGGCGCAAGCCUGAUGCAGCCAUGCCGCGUGUGUGAAGAAGGCCUUCGGGUUGUAAAGCACUUUCAGCGGGGAGGAAGGCGAUAAGGUUAAUAACCUUGGCAAUUGACGUUACCGACAGAAGAAGCACCGGCUAACUCCGUGCCAGCAGCCGCGGUAAUACGGAGGGUGCAAGCGUUAAUCGGAAUUACUGGGCGUAAAGCGCACGCAGGCGGUUGAUUGAGUCAGAUGUGAAAUCCCCGGGCUUAACCCGGGAAUUGCAUCUGAUACUGAUCAACUAGAGUCUUGUAGAGGGGGGUAGAAUUCCAUGUGUAGCGGUGAAAUGCAUAGAGAUGUGGAGGAAUACCGGUGGCGAAGACGGCCCCCUGGACAAAAACUGACGAUCAGGUGCGAAAGCGUGGGGAGCAAACAGG
RNAcentral lists this ribosomal RNA (429 nucleotides) under Chloroflexota bacterium. Its description in RNAcentral is "Chloroflexi bacterium partial 16S ribosomal RNA". It matches the Rfam family "Bacterial small subunit ribosomal RNA", at positions 355 to 776 of the family's 1533-position model. The record is from RNAcentral. Lineage: Bacteria; Bacillati; Chloroflexota.